CGUGAGGGACGAAGCCUUUCGGGGCGUAAACCUCUUUUAUCUGGGACGAAAAACCCGCAAGGGUCUGACGGUACCAGGUGAAUAAGCCACGGCUAACUAUGUGC
RNAcentral lists this ribosomal RNA (104 nucleotides) under uncultured bacterium. Its description in RNAcentral is "partial 16S ribosomal RNA". It matches the Rfam family "Bacterial small subunit ribosomal RNA", at positions 400 to 508 of the family's 1533-position model. The record is from RNAcentral.